This 438-nucleotide ribosomal RNA is filed under the name uncultured Glomus. RNAcentral describes it as "SSU rRNA". It matches the Rfam family "Eukaryotic small subunit ribosomal RNA", at positions 569 to 1012 of the family's 1831-position model. Lineage: Eukaryota; Fungi; Glomeromycota; Glomeromycetes; Glomerales; Glomeraceae. The record is from RNAcentral.
AGCAGCCGCGGUAAUUCCAGCUCCAAUAGCGUAUAUUAAAGUUGUUGCAGUUAAAAAGCUCGUAGUUGAAUUUCGGGAUCAAUUCGUCGGUCGUGCUUUCGGGUACGUACUGGUGUUUAUUGGUUUCUCCCUUCUGACGAACCAUGAUGUCAUUAAUUUGGUGUUAUGGGGAGUUAGGACUGUUACUUUGAAAAAAUUGAGUGUUUAAAGCAGGCAUUAGCUUGAAUACAUUAGCAUGGAAUAAUGAAAUAGGACGUUCGAUCCUAUUUUGUUGGCUUCUAGGAUCAACGUAAUGAUUAAUAGGGAUAGUUGGGGGCAUUAGUAUUCAAUUGUCAGAGGUGAAAUUCUUGGAUUUAUUGAAGACUAACUACUGCGAAAGCAUUUGCCAAGGAUGUUUCAUUAAUCAAGAACGAAAGUUAGGGAUCGAAGACGAUCAGA